GCAUUCUUAUUCCGAUUCAAGUAUCCUGGAAAAGUGUCACCGAACGGCCCUGCUGGGACUUCGCGCCCCACAAUCACGGCUGCUGAGUCUACGCUAAUUGAGUGAGUGCGACACAGAUGCUCCCCUUCUGGCUGGAGGGAGGGAGCAGAGUUCCCCACUUUUCUCCAGAAAUAAUCCUGAUUGGUUUAAAAAGAUGCACUGUAUGAAGUGGAGAAACAACAGGACCCAAACAAAGAGACAGAAUCGAUUUUUAUUACUGUUAAAGUCAUCAAGUCAGUCAAGGAGUACAUUACAGAGCUUUACAAAAAAGAAAAUGCAGGACGGGAGCGGCGGGCGACCGCCGGUUCCUGGCAGAAACACCACAUGAACAGUAACAUCUGUUGGAGCAUGAACACAGACACAGAGUGAAACGUGUUGGGGGGGAAAGCAGUGCUUCAGAGUGUAACAGUGUUUAUUUAACAUCAAACACAUUUGACCGCUAACAAAUGAAAUAUUUCUCUGAUAUUUCUCUGAUUCAGGCUCUAAGGGAUUAUUUACCUGGCAAAUAUAUUCACCACCUCCAUCCUGGGAACUUAUUCAGAUUUUGUCACAUUUCAGCCUUAAGAUGGGUUUUUAUGAGUCAGACUGACAUAAAGUGUGUAAUAGUUGUGAAGCUGUAAUAAAAUGUUCUUUGAACACCUCUGAGGCUUGUUGUUAGCUGAGAGAAAACUGUGAAGAUGUUUAACCCAGAAAGGUCCACUGUUGUGAUAUUACAUCAUCUAUAUAUUUUAACAAAAAAAAAAAACAACUAACAAAUGUUUACUUUUCUUCUGUUUUUUUCCCUCCUAAACCUAGAGAUUGAACCCUACAAUGUUUCAUAAAACCUUACAAAAGCAAAAAUACUUUUCAGAAAACAUAUUUUCAUCUCUAGCGUACUCCUACAAAACCAUUUUCAAGGUUCUUCUAUGUUUUUCUACAUCUGGAUCUUCCAGGGUUAAAACCAGAGAAGCAGCCGAUAGGCCCCUUGGUGACUUUGGAGGAGCUGCACAGGUCUACAGCUCAGGUGGGAGGUUGAGAAGACUUAAAAAUACACUUUAAGUGUGGAAAGAAGAAAGAGACAAAUAAUCCCAUUUGAAAUUUGUGACGCGCCAUGAGGAAACCAGGGACAAGUCACCAGAGCAGAAGCAGAACAAAAACCCAACAUAAAAAUACUUACAUUUCUAAGAAAAUAAUGAUUUUCGUUUUACUGCUAAAUCAUAAAUAACCCAUCCUCUACUUUAAAAAGCAGAUUCAGAGAUAUUAAAAUGGUCAAAUUUGUGUUUGGAUUCAGAGUAAAUCUGAGCUGUUUUGGAGUAAGCAAACAGCUGAUUAACAUACCGGGCAUAAUUGGGUAUUCACACGUUUUCGGUUUCGGCCAAUAAGAUGAAAAUUGAAGUUAUUUACAGAUUCACAAAGUGUGGAAUCAAUGCUUUCCAAUAAUGUUCCUGUCAAAACGCCUCCAAGGAGAUUUGUUCCUGGUUUUAUUGUGGUCAGUCACAUUCGUCAAAGGCCGUGUAGAGGUCACGGCAAACAUGGAGGGAUGUGUCUCCAUGGGUCACCGAUGAUGAUUAACAGUUUUCCUGCAAUGUUACGUUGUUUAGCAGCUAUUAGCAUGUACACGAGAUUGAUUGACAGCGCUAAGACCUUCCUCCGGGCUCUGAUUGGUUGUUUUUGUCUGGGGAGGAGGAGGUUGAUUUUUUUUCUUUUUCAAAGAUUAUCUGUCUCAUAACAUACUGUCAUGGCAUAAUUUUUGUGACAUGUAUGAACUGC
Molecule: long non-coding RNA, 1788 nt
Organism: Poecilia latipinna (sailfin molly)
Lineage: Eukaryota; Metazoa; Chordata; Actinopteri; Cyprinodontiformes; Poeciliidae
Exons: 3
Source: RefSeq, a predicted model, not a curated record